UUUCUUGGCUCCAACUAUAACAGAUAUUGAGCAGUUUAAAGAUAAGCUCUGAGGCAUGCCAUUUAUGGCAAUUUCUAAGUAUAAACUUUCUCAUUAGGCCAAGAAUGUACAUGCUUGAAGAGCCUGGAAAGAAACAGAUUGGAGAAAAGAAUAAAAUAGAAAAGACUGUAUCAACACGAGAACGUAUCUGGAUUACCAAGAUUCUAUUUAAUGGAUACACAAAACAAGAAGAGGCCUUCAACUGAUCCUGAGGUUCUCAAAGGAGCCAGCAAUACAUACAUUCUAUAUUAUUAUUCUCACUUAAGAUCAUGUAGUUUGACAAAAAUGAACUACUGGGACCUCAUCAAAAUAAAAAGCUUCUGCACAGCGAAGGAAACAAUCAGUAAAACUAAAAGGCAACAGACAGAAUGGGAGAAGAUAUUUGCAAAUGACAUAUCAGAUAAAGGGAGUUGACUGGAGACCUUGGCUCAUUUAUCCUUACUCCAGGGCCCAGGCUGAUGGAGUUGACCUCAUUCUGAAGGCUGUUGUUUGCCAACGCAGGUGGAAAGAGACUGUGGCAAAUUCUGCACUCUUUUUUUAAAAUUGAGACAUAAUUGACAUAUAAUAUUUUAUUAGUUUCAGGUGUACAACAUGAUUCAAUAUAUGCAUAUAUUGCAAAUGAUCACCACAGUAAAUGCAGUUAACAUUCAUCACCACACAUGGUUACAACUUUUUUUUAUAAUGAAAACCUUUUCUUUUUUGAGAGAGAGACUGUGCACAAGAGUAUGUGAGUGGGGGAGGGGCAAAGGGAGAGGGAGAGAGAAUUUUAAGCAGGAUCCAUGCCCAUAUAGAGCCCGAUGCAGAGCUCAGUCUCAUAACCAUGAGAUCAUAACCUGAGCUGAAAUUAAGAGUCGGACACUUCAUUGACUGAACCACCCAGACACCCCAAGAUCUCACCUUCUUGAUGGAUGAGUAAUAUUCCACUGUGUAUAUGCACCACAUCUUCUUUAUCCAUUCAUCAGUUGAUGGACAUUUGGGCUCUUUCCAUAAUUUGGCUAUUGUUGAUAGUUCUGCUAUACAUGUGGGGGUGCAUGUGCCCUUUUGAAUCAGUAUUUUUGUAUCCUUUGGAUAAAUACCUAGUAGUGCAAUUGCUGGGAUUUAGGGUAGUUGUAUUUUCAACUUUUUGAGGAACUUCCAUACUAUUUUCCAGAGUGUCUGCACCAGUUUGCAUCCCUACCGAUGGUGUAAGAGGAUUCCCGUUUCUCCACAUCCUUGCCAACAUCUGUUUUUUUUAAGUUGUUAAUUUUAGUAAUUCUGACAGGUGUGAAGUGGCAUAUCAUUGUGGUUUUGAUUUGUAUUUCUCUGAUGAUGAGUGAUGUUGAGCAUUUUUUCAUGUGUCUGUUAGCCAUUUGUACAUCUUCUUUGGAGAAAUGUCUGCUGAUGUCUUCUGCCCAAUUAUUAACUGGAUUAUUUACUUUUUGCCUGUUGAGUUUGGUAAGUUCUUUACAGAUUUUGGAUACCAGCCUUUUAUCUGAUAUGUCAUUUGCAAAUAUCUUCUUCCAUUCUGUAGGUUGCCUUUUAGUUUGUUGAUUUUUUUUUUUUACUGUGCAGAAGAUUUGUAUCUUGAUGAAGUCCCAAUAGUUCAUUUUUGCUUUUGUUUCCCUUGCCUCUGAGACAUGUCUAUUAAGAAGUUGCUGCGGCUGAGAUCAAAGAAGUUGCUGACUAUGUUCUCUAGGAUUUGGAUGGUUUCCUGUCUCACAUUUAGGUCUUUUACCCAUUUUGAAUUUAUUUUUGUGUAUGGUGUAAGAAAGUGGUCCAGUUUCAUUUUUCUGCAUGUUGCUGUCCAGUUUCCCCAAUAUGAUUUGUUGAAGACACUGUCUUUUUCCAUUGGAUAUUCUUUCCUGCUUUGUUGAAGAUUAGUUGACCAUAUAAUUGUAGGUCCAUUUCUGGAUUCUCUAUUCUGUUCCAUUGACCUGUGUGUCUGUUUUUGUGCCAGUGAAUUCUAUAUUAACUCUUCUUUUAAAAAAUUUUUUAGUGUUCAUUUUAUUUUUGAGAGAGAGAGACAGAGUGUGUGCAGGGGAGGGGCAGAGAAAGAGAGGGAGACACAGAAUCUGAAGCAGGCUCCAGGCUCUGAGCUCUUAGCACAGAGUCUGAUGCAGGGCUCAAACCCACAAACUGUGAGACCAUGACCUGAGCAAAGUCAGACACGCUUCAAUGACUGAGCCACCCAGGUGCCCCUGUACUAACCCUUAAAGGUUCCCAGAGGUAACACACAGCACUCCUAGAACAGGACAUAUGGGGAAGUGGUAAGCUGAAUUCUAUCAUGUACUCUGAAGGAGAACCACAAGUAUUUGGUGAAUAGCACUAAUGAUUACCAGAAUCAUAAUUUUAGUUCCUCAAAAUAGUAAAAACUGAUAAAGCAAAUCUAGUAUGUAAAUCAGCAUGUCAAUGUGGAAAGCUAUCCAGGUAGGCAAACAGCAUCAUUAAGAGUUUUCUCAGCUCCCCUUUGCAGCAAACCUCCUCAAGAGUUAGCUACACUCACUCUCUUUGAUUGGUCCCUUCUCAUUUCUCAGCAACCCAUUCUAAUCCUAUUAUUUUCUUUUUAUUCACUCUGUUGGAACCACAGUGGCCUCCCUUCUCUCUCUCUCUCUUUUUUUUUUAACCUCUGUGAACAUGUUGGGCACAAUUCCCUCUUAGGACUCCCCUUUGUCCUGAUACCUGAUUUAUCUGUUGAUAAAUCCAUUGAUUUACAUGGAGGCUGAGGGUCUCUCUGAAAACAACCCAGUCUGUCAGUCUGGGCUCUUAUAUUUGGACAUAUGCAAUUUUGACUGACAAGUAGGGUUAAACCUGGUAGAAGCAGAACUGCAGGGGAAAAAAAUGGAGACAUCUAGAAGAAAAAUGACGAAGUUAUUAAAUAGAAUAAGCUGGAAUGAACAACAAGGCCUGAGUGCUGGAGAGAAGAGGUAUUUUGGGUAUUACAAGGCAGCUGAUUGGGAAGUUCAUUCCAUUCCAGCCACUGUGAUGUAUAUGUGCGUCCUGAGAGAAAGGUGUACGUGUCUGUGUGUGCAUGUGCAUAAAUGAAGCCUGUCGCGUGGUGGCUGGAGCAGCCAUGCUAUGGAAAUUUUGCAAUGGCCCAGGACUAGUGCUCCAGUUCAUGGACCCUAGGUCCUGUUGGCACCUGGGUGACAGUAUUGGAAAUGAGAGGAAAGUUAUGGUCUCAGAGGAAUAGCUAUGGGAACUCUUGCGUCUGGGCCUGCAGAGCCCCUGCUCAGCUAGCAGUGGGAGGGAGGGAAGAAGCAGCAUUGCUAACCACGGUGACGUCGUGAUGUUUAAGAAAUAUAUUUCAAGAGGAUCCCAUCUGAGAACACGGCGUGGGCAGCUGAGGGUAAGUGAGACGUGCAGCUCUGGGGUGGCGUGGCAGUACCGUCCUUGUGCACAGCAGAGUUGCGGCUCAUCUGGUAGUAGUGCCGUCAGGACGCAACACGGUCGCCCCUUCCUGAAGAACCUGGGGGUCUUUUGUCACCCUUCCUGAGGCUUCAGCGUUUUGUGAUCAGCCCCUUGGCACCCAGCUGCCACACUAUCUCAUCUGAGAUCCUUAACUGUCGGCGAGGUUCCUGCCACUUGAGGAACCAUCUCCACUCUCCUGCGUUACCCAUGCCCUUGUCACUGCAAAGCGAAUUCUCCUUUCCUUUGGAAUCACUCCCCAUGCAUCUACUCUGCACUUAAAAACAUAAGCCUUGUUUUCAUUCAGCAAACCUUUUAAGGCCCCCAUGAGAAGCCCAGUGACCUAAAUCAUUCUGUUCUGCCCGUUUUGGGGAAUGCAUGCGUGGUAUUGCCACUUUGGGUACUAAAGAUGGAGAUUGUCUUCAAAUGGAGCCAAUAUUAUGAUAGACAGUUUGAUAAUGUGAUACAGAUACAGAGUGAGAACUGUGGAAAUAUCACAAAAAUUGGGUGUUAGGCGUGCCUGGGUGGCUCAGUCAGUUAGGCAUCUGACUUUGGUUUGGGUCAUGAUCUCACAGUUUGUGAGCUUGAGCCCUGCACUUACAGUGUGGAGCCAGCCUGGGAUUCCCUCUCUCCCUCUCUCUUUCCUUUCCCCACUUGUGUUUUCUCUCUCUUUCAAAAUAAAUAAAUAAAAAUUGGGUGUUAGACUUAAAAUAAACACAGGUUUUGUGGUCAACUCACUAAACCACAAUAUCUUGAAUUGCUUGCUUUGUAGCAAUCUGCACAAAGUAAACCAUCCCAGGUAUAGUUUUUAAAACCGUAUAUAAGAUAGCCUUCACUUUACUUGAUGCGACUGCCUAGAUUCUUCCUCCCUCUCAUCUCCUCCUUUCCCUUCUUUCUCUUCCUCCCUUCUCUUUACUUUCCCUCUUCUCUUCAUUUCUUUCCAAACUUCUGACCCUGGAAUUCCAGGAGACAAACUUUCUUGGACUUUUUCUUUUAAUACCUGUAAGCUUGUAUGGUGGUUUAAAAUACCUCUUAGUCUUUUGGAUGAUUUUGCUUUUUCCUUUAAGGGCUUCUGUUCUCGUCCUUCUUAUUCUCUGUUGAUCUUUGAGACUUCACACAUGAUCUCACUCAUUUGUAGUUGUUUUACACUUGCCCAAUGAAGUGCUCUUUUGGUCUAAAAAUGGUGCAUUUUGCACUUUUUAAGUCACAUUUAGGGACCCAAGAAUAUAUUGUAAUGAAUAUUUCAUGUUAAAAGUUCUGGUUCAAUAGAAAUAACUGCAAAAGUGAUGCCAGAGUCUUUCAAGUUCUGGCCAAGACUAUUGUUUUACAGUGAGGAAAGAGCUCUCCAUUCUAGGGAAUGUAAAGUAUUGGUCUAUUACAUCUGAAGUUCAGUGUGUCCACUGAGAAUCUUAGAUACUCCAUCUCUCUAGCUUAUUCCUGUGUUUAUACUCAUUUAGACACCAUUAAAGAAUAAAUGUGCUUCUUCUUUUAGGACAAAGGCAAUCAGCUUGAUCUCACACUUGAUUUUACAUGGCCAUUAGAUCAGGUGGAGCAAAACCAAGUGUAAUCAAAUUCAUAGUUCUCAGUACAUGGGCCCUUGUGAAUCUCUAAUGAGACCCACCCAAAGGCAAACAUACCUUGAGCAUUGUUUGAAAUACACAAUGUAGAAUAAAAUUAUACAGAUGUACAUCUCAUUAAGUCACAAAAUCCUGAUUUAGCAAGCUCUGUGAAAAGUUGGCUACUCAUAAAAGAUCAAAUGAAAGUUAGAUAUUUAUAGUUCUGAUCCUUGACAUGAGUGUCCAGUUUAUGGAAACAAGUCAAUCUAUGGAUUCAUUUAUUUGUUCUGCAAACACUAAGGCACUAUAUUAGUUUUGUAUUACUGCUGUAACAAAUUGCCACAAACUUAGCCACUGAAAAUAAUAUAAAUAUAUGAUCUUAUAGUACUGUAUGUCAGAAGUUUGACACAGGUCACCCUGAACUAAAAUGAAGGUGUUGGCAAGACUAAAUUCCUUUCUGGAGACUCUAGGGGAGAUUCGAUUUCAUUGCCUUUUCCAGCUUCUUGAAGCUGCUACAUUCUUUGGCUCAUGACCCUCCUUCCCCCAUAUUCAGAGCCAGAAAUGUUGCAUCUCUUUUUAAUCUUUCUCUUAUCUUCAUAUUUUUCCCUCUGAUGAAAGCCUGAAAAAGUUCUCCACUUUUAAGAUUCAUGUGAUUAAUUGGGUCCACCCGGAUAAUCUAGGACAGUCACCCCAUCUCAAGGUCUAUACCCUUAAUCACAUCUGCAAAGUCUCUUUUACUGUGUAAGGUAACAUACUGACAGGUUCUGGGGACUAGGGUGUGGACAACUUUGGGGACCAUCAUUCUACCUACCAUAGCUACUAUGUUUCCCUUUUCAGGGCACUAGUCAUAUAAAGCAAAAAACAAAAAAACAAAAAACAAAAACAAAAACAAAACCACAACGGUCUUACUUCCUGGAGCUUUUGUUAUUAGAGGAUGAAUAGUAGGCCAAGAUCUUGAUGCCUCUGUGAAAAAAUAGGUAGCAAUCAUUUAGGUAACAUACCCAUCAUUGGGCCAGGUUAAAUUAAGCAGUGUGAAAAAGACCAUGGUUUGGGAGGCAGGGCACAUCUGGGUUCCAAUUCUCAGCCAAUUGCUUAACUGAGAAAAAAAAAGAAACUGGAAUCUGCCUAAUCUUGCUGAGCCCAGUUUCUUUAACUAUAAAUAGGGGGAAAUAUCACCCAUCAAGCAGGACUGUUAUUGAGGAUUAAAUGAAAUUGCAUAUGCAAAUGCACAGUGCAUAGGCAUGGAGUGAAUGCUCAAAAAAAUAUCAUUUCUCUUCCUUAAAAAAGGUGUCAUUCUAUGAAAUUUGGAAACAUGAUUCCAAGGUCAAACAACAGGACUGUUUUCAGUUGGUAUUGUUUAGAGGCAUGAAGAAAAUCUCCCUGACUCUAAUUUAUCUUUUAUCACAUUUCUUGAAACUUAAGAACUAGAAAUAUAUUCUUUUGGCUUAUGGUUCACUUUCUAAGUGUGCUCAUUAAAUAUAGAGUUGUUAUCAAGAAGGAUAAAACAUGAAGCUGUUAUAAGUAAUUGUCACUGUAAUGUGAAUUUGUCAAAGGAGGCUGAUUAAAGCUGAUUAAGUUAGGGGUCAUUUUGUUGUGAGCA
This is a long non-coding RNA of Acinonyx jubatus (cheetah), 6579 nucleotides long. RefSeq lists it as uncharacterized. NCBI's taxonomy places the organism in Eukaryota, Metazoa, Chordata, Mammalia, Carnivora, Felidae. The transcript has 3 exons. The record is from RefSeq and is a predicted model, not a curated record.